ACUGACGUCACUCAAUGCGACACUGAUGUAUCAAUUAUCAGUCUCGGAACUUCUUUAAAAGCACUGCGCUGGUGAUAGCCAGGCUGCUUGGUGGUUUUGGCAGUACAUUCCACUUCAAGUGAGGUUCCGGUUGAUCCCUGGCUGCGAUUGUCGGCUGACGGCAAGAAAUUGAGGCUGCCUUCCGUCACCGGCUGCUGUUUUGUUUCUACUUAAAGUUCCUUUUUGUUAUAUGUUUGUCCAUUGAUUACUGACUAUUGUUGCACUGCUUGCGUGCUGCCAGCUCAUGGUAACCUGCGGGUGUGCGUGCGGGUGUUGAGGAGUGUCGGUGAGGAUUAUUUUGGUUUCCUUUUAUGUUUAAGUCUCCAUUGUCUGCAUGUUUUGUUGUUCGUUUCCUUGUCCUCUCUGCUUCUGUAAAACCCCACCAGUGGCGAACUUACCCCUGUGACUGGGCACCUAACACUGUGGCUAUUUGUUAUUUGCAGUGCUCUUAUUUUAAGGUGCUUGUAGUGCCCAUUUGGGGUGUAUUGUUUUGCUGUGCUUGACUGUGCUACUUCACAUUCCUUUACUGCCCAAUCAGUCCUAAGGGGUGGGACGUCUGUUGGUCUCCAGAGGCUUGAUUUGUGUACUAGUUGAACGUGUGUGUUAUUUUGUGUUUGUUUUCUGGUUGUCCUUUUGGUUGCAGGAGUUGGGUACCCCCAGCAGGGAGGCCUUGGCACCUGGUGGUGGGUAUCCGCAUGUGUGUCUGACUAUCUUUGCAGUGUAGGGUCACCCGGGUGUGCAGUGUGUUCGCGUGUGGUCCCUUGGACCCCCCUCCUAGACAGAUUGCCCCCCUCUGCUCACUGACCUGAGAGCUUGAGUCAUCAUCGUAGCAGCUCAAAACAUGAUACCUGUUCCCACAUUUCUCAACCAGCCACCGGAGGUUGUCGCCUUCACUCUCAAUGUACUCCUCAACUGAUCUGUCUCCAAGCCAGUCUCCCCGGGUGAAUACAACUAUGGUGUGUCUCCACACACUCUCACCGAUGAUGCUCAUGUACUUAGAUGUGGCUUUUCUGUCUUCCUCUGUGAAUGCCCUGUUUACCGGAACAACCACGAGGAGGCCGUGUGGACCUGGUGAGAUCAUGGACACACCACGUGCAAUCUCCUGUUCCACCAAAACUGAUGAGUCAUCGGGUGAUGUACACCAGCCCGGUGUAUCAACCACUGUGACACGCUUGUUAAAAACGUACGCCUGAUGCAGGAGACAUUUUGUGGUGCCAUGACGUUUUUUGAAUGCCUGCAGGGAAAUUAUGAUUUCACAGUCACAAUAUAAAAGUUAAUACACAGUUCUAAUAUUUCAAAAGAUAAAG
Molecule: long non-coding RNA, 1346 nt
Organism: Clupea harengus (Atlantic herring)
Lineage: Eukaryota; Metazoa; Chordata; Actinopteri; Clupeiformes; Clupeidae
Source: Ensembl